AUUGAACGCUGGCGGCAGGCUUAACACAUGCAAGUCGAGCGGGGUGAUGGUGCUUGCACUAUCACUUAGCGGCGGACGGGUGAGUAAUGCUUAGGAAUCUGCCUAUUAGUGGGGGACAACAUCUCGAAAGGGAUGCUAAUACCGCAUACGUUCUACGGGAGAAAGCAGGGGAUCACUUGUGACCUUGCGCUAAUAGAUGAGCUGAAGUCGGAUUAGCUAGUUGGUGGGGUAAAGGCCUACCAAGGCGACGAUCUGUAGCGGGUCUGAGAGGAUGAUCCGCCACACUGGGAAUGAGACACGGCCCAGACUCCUACGGGAGGCAGCAGUGGGGAAUAUUGGACAAUGGGGGGAACCCUGAUCCAGCCAUGCCGCGUGUGUGAAGAAGGCCUUAUGGUUGUAAAGCACUUUAAGCGAGGAGGAGGCUCUUUUGGUUAAUACCCAAGAUGAGUGGACGUUACUCGCAGAAUAAGCACCGGCUAACUCUGUGCCAGCAGCCGCCGUAA
RNAcentral lists this ribosomal RNA (503 nucleotides) under uncultured bacterium. Its description in RNAcentral is "partial 16S ribosomal RNA". It matches the Rfam family "Bacterial small subunit ribosomal RNA", at positions 30 to 523 of the family's 1533-position model. The record is from RNAcentral.